Molecule: ribosomal RNA, 261 nt
Filed under: uncultured eukaryote
Lineage: Eukaryota
Description: partial 18S rRNA
Rfam family: Eukaryotic small subunit ribosomal RNA
Source: RNAcentral
GAUGGUAGUGUAUUGGACUACCAUGGCUUUAACGGGUAACGGAGGAUUAGGGUUUGAUUCCGGAGAGGGGGCCUGAGAGAUGGCCACCACAUCCAAGGAAGGCAGCAGGCGCGUAAAUUACCCAAUUUCGACACGAAGAGGUAGUGACAAUAAAUAACAAUGCCGGGCCUUUCUAGGUCUGGCAAUUGGAAUGAGAACAAUUUAAAUCCAUUAUCGAGGAUCAAUUGGAGGGCAAGUCUGGUGCCAGCAGCCGCGGUAAUA